GAAAAGUUUGCAUAGAGUAGCUAGCUAGAUUACUAUCAAGUGGCAACUUCUGGGAUAGAAAACAAAGGAAAAUGAAGGACUAAAAACUGCAAAUAAAUUAGAGGUGUCUUAAGGCUGGCCCUUUGUAUUGAGGCUUAAAUAUUUCGAUUUUUAUUGAGCUGCUUUAAGUGACAAGCGGGCUGCUAGCUGUCUUCAAGGAGUCCCUCGCUAAUAUUUUGGUGAACUGAACGUCUUGAUCGUGUUUGGAACUUUGGUGCCUUUUGUAAAUACAGUUAUUUAACAGAUAUUUUGGCAUGCUAUGUAGUUAAAGUACUAACAAAUGGUCCAAGAAGUCAGAGUCCAGGUUUUCCUAAUAGGAAGUGGACGGACUGGAUGGUGCAACAGAGUCAAUAAAUCCAUUUCUGUCUGAGAUGCACCAGGUCUCUUGUUUCCUCAAAGGAAACUCUGGAUAAAUAUUUCACUGCAUCUUUACGCAGAGAAAUAAGAAUACAAUGCAAACUCGAGUGCCAGCUCCACACAAAUAUAUGCCAACGUGUGUUUUUUUUUCUUUUUCCAAUGGAUUUACAUCCAGAUGUAUUAAAAAUUCUCUUCUCCAUUAUCUGAAAAUGCAUAUUUCUUAAUUAUUCAUCGCAAGGCAUUGAAGCACCCAGGUCUUUUAAAUUUUUUAUUUCUGCUCAGCUUCAAACAGGAGAUCUUGUAAAGGGGACCCAGUUUUGGGGUGUGGGAAUUGCUGCAGGGCGAAGCUGACAGGAUUUUUCAGUCUCGAGGCACCUCUUGCUUUUUCAUUACAG
This is a long non-coding RNA of Oreochromis aureus, 791 nucleotides long. The record is from Ensembl. Lineage: Eukaryota; Metazoa; Chordata; Actinopteri; Cichliformes; Cichlidae.